This 301-nucleotide ribosomal RNA is filed under the name uncultured bacterium. RNAcentral's name for it is "partial 16S ribosomal RNA". It matches the Rfam family "Bacterial small subunit ribosomal RNA", at positions 509 to 807 of the family's 1533-position model. The record is from RNAcentral.
CAGUCGCCGCGGGAAUACAGAGGGUGCAAGCGUUAAUCGGAUUUACUGGGCGUAAAGGGCGCGUAGGUGGUUAUUUAAGUGAGAUGUGAAAUCCCCGGGCUUAACCUGGGAACUGCAUCUUAUACUGGGUAACUGGAGUGCAGUAGAGGGUAGUGGAAUUUCCGGUGUAGCGGUGAAAUGCGUAGAUAUCGGAAGGAACACCCGUGGCGAAAACGAGGUCCUGGACGUCUACUGACGCUGAGACGCGAAAGCUAGGGGAGCGAACGGGAUUAGAUACCCCCGUAGUCCCUGUCUCUUAUAC